Molecule: long non-coding RNA, 11027 nt
Organism: Columba livia (rock pigeon)
Lineage: Eukaryota; Metazoa; Chordata; Aves; Columbiformes; Columbidae
Exons: 3
Source: RefSeq, a predicted model, not a curated record
UCCUGGAGGACUUACAAAUCAGCCCUUCAAGAUAUUGUCUUUGCCACAGAGGUGCUCGAUGCAAACAGGGACAGAUAUAUUGGAACAUCCUUGUCCUUGACAUUGGGAAUGGACCAGUCUGAUCUAAAUGUUGUGGCUCUGCUUUAGGAUUCAGACCUUCAGCAAGUGUCUGGCAGCAUUUUCCAGCUGUUUAGCAAUGACACUUCCCUUCCCGGGGUAGGACUGUGUAUAUUGGAUAUGUGAACACAGAGACCAGGUAAGGUGUCUUGGACAAUUAUAAUAUAAUUCAUCUAAUCCAAUUUUAUCUAUCUAAAACUGAGAUGCCCAGUAAGUUUUCAAGCAUGAGUUAUGGCCAGGAGGUGAAUAAUGUCUAGAAGACAGGCCAGGGAACAACACUUUCUUAAUUUACUGGGACAGUUUCAUAUUCCACUUUAUGUCACCGGAUUUUUUUUUUUGUUCAUAUUUUUCAUUUAAUAAAGAAGUUUGUGUGCCUUGAGGUUUUCGGUCUUUCUGCAAUUCACAACGUACUGCUGUAAUAUGACACAAAGAGCUAUGUGCUUAUUCUCAUGCAAGAGAGAAAAACUGUGUGUUAUAAAACAACCCAAUGACUGGAAUUUAAGACAAAAUGAAGGACAAGGGCUGAUUAUUCUGCAUUUUUCUUGGUUGGAUUUCUUGCCCCUUCCUUUGGAGAUAUUAUCCUGAUUAUUGUAAAAGGGCUUGACACAUUGAUAGGGAGUCUAGCCCAGCCUAGGAAUUCCUGUGUUUCUUAAGAAAAAGCACUGUAGCCAGAGAUACAGUGCCUAAAGUCCUUAAUGAUCUUGUCCUCUGGUAUCAUAGAAGGCAAAUGAAGAAUAUUGAACCCUAAGUUUGCCUCUUUUUUUUUGAAUAUGAAAACAUUCACUGUUUCUCCCGUUUUUCCUUCUACACUCUUUCCAAUUUGUGUAAGACCAAGACCUUAAGCAUAAGUGAGCAAUGGCCAAGAAUGAACAUCGUCCAUCCUUCUGUUCCUGAAAAACAAGGAAGACAUCAGAAAAAAAAUUACGCACUCUUCAAGCAGCAGCCUUGUAAACAGCAUUAUCUCCACUGUCAGAGCAGACCACAUGCCCAUAAAAGGAUGUGUUAUCAAAAAUAUCUAUAAUGGUGACCUUAAAAAAGUACAAGAAGUGCUAAUGAAUUUCUUGUUAUUUUAGAAAGGGACUUUCUUCUCCGUUGUUGCAGAGAGCUUCCUGAAGCAAAAACAAAUGAAGUUCUUCUCUCUUUCUUUUUAAAUACAAGCCUGGUGUUGGAGCUGGACGUUGCUGGGAUGGAGCCUUCCAAGGACAGAGCCUGGCUGUCCCACUGUGGGGAGCUCAUGGCAAUGCUUGUGAUGAUGCAUCAGUACCAGCAUCUCUGCUCCGACAGUGUCACUUUUGGAGAAUGUGAGAAGCUGAGGCUUGGCCGUGCACAGCUGUUUGGGACACCGGACCUACCAGAGCCCAAACCCAAUUGUGUUACAACAGGGGCUGUUACAUUUUCUCUCCUGAAACCCAAAGAAGAAUGCUUUCUUCUGAGUUUCUCCUGCUAAAAAUUAUCCCAUACAUUAACACUGCCUGGCACUGCUGGCCACACUGACCCACAGUGAGAAGAGGGUGCUGGUUUUGUGCUGAGCUGAAGGACGUUAUAUCCUUGGUGCUUCUCCAGUUUCACCGUAUUUUCUUGUCUUCCCUCCCUGAUAAAUUGAUUUGGCAAAGCUCUAGGGCAGUGCCCAUUGGAGGCAUGACAGAAAGACUCGAAGUCUGGACUCUGUCACACUGCAAAACUCGAUAAAAUGGAAAAAAGGAGGAAGCCAUGCAUAACAAUGUCUGGGCCAAGACCUGGGAAAGAAACCAUUUGUUUUAACUUCUUCAUGCAAAUCUUUAAUUUCUCAUUCUUCUUAAUUCAACUCAAGAGAGAUGAUAGAGAUUUGAUCAUCUUGGUGGACAUGGUUUGAACAGUCAUAGAAUCAUUUCAGUUGGAAGAGACCCUCAGGACCAUUGACUCCAGUCAAGCAGUGAUCAAAACAGACAGGACUUCAGAACGUCUGAACUGUGAUAAUCAGAGGUAUAAAUAGAGAAGAGAGUGUCCGUGUGUCCAGAAGAGAUAUUAAUAUAAAAGAUCCUACAUUAUGCUUUUCCAUCUGAUUUCUUGCCUGCAGUAAACAUUGCUGUACCCUUUGAAGAACAAGACCAUCCCGCACAUGGUGGGAUUCUGCUGGAUGAAUGUGGUGUCCAGGAAAGUUUGCACAUUUCUUGUGCAGUUGGGAAAUGCAACCAGAUUUGAAGCUGACUGCACUCACUGUCUGAGCUUGGUGUCUUGGGUGAGGACCCUUUUUCAGCACCAAAUGAUCUCUGGUUAUAAUGAGCUUUGUCCUGGCCUUAGGGAGAAAGUUUGAAGUCAAUUGCCAUAGACAAGUCGGUCCUCUACAACCUGCAAAGUCAACCCCUGGGCAGUUGCAUUGGUUGGAUGGAUGCAGGUGAUGAAAUAGGGUCUGGCCAUGAAGUGUGGACAGUUCAAUUUAUGAGGGUCAAAGGAGAAUUUCCUUGGGGUAAGAAGGCUUCUGUUGAACAGCCUGAUAAACAGGUGCUGCGAGUUUUUUUUGAGAAACAGCUACAAGGCAUGGAAUAUAAACUGUUUCAUGGAAAUAACUCCAGCACUUCAUUAGCAUGUUUUAGACUUAGCUUUACCCUGUCUGGGUCACCUAGAUCAGUACAAGAAAGACAUGGACCUGUUGGAGAGGGGCCAGAGGAGCCACAGAAAUUAUCCGAGGCUGGAACAGCUCUGCUGGGAGGACAGGCUGAGAGAGUUGGGGUGUUCAGCUGGAGAAGAGAAGCUCCGGGGAGACCUUAGUGUGGCCUUUCAGUGCUUAAAAGGGGCUGAUGAGAAAGAUGGGGACCGACUUUUUAUCAGGGCCUGUUGUGACAAGACAAGGAGUGAUGGUUUUAAACUAAAGGAGUGGAGAUUCAGACCAGACAUGAGGAAAACAUUUUUGACACUAAAAGUGGUAAAAGCCUGGCCCAGGUUCGCCAGAGAGGUGGUGGAUGAGCCAUCUCUGGAGACAUACCAGGCCAGGCUGGAUGGAGCUCUGAGCAACCUGAGCUGGUGAAGAUGUCCCUGCUCAUUGCAGGGGUUGGGCUGGAUGAGCUUUGGAGGUCCCUUCCAACCCAAACUAUUCUAUGAUAUCGUGAUUCUAUGACCUUCCUCCUUCCUUCUCCCAAGCUCCAGAGAGGCACUGACCAUUGGAGGCCCUGAACAGCACAAGUGUUUGGACUGGUAUGGAUAUCUUGGACCUUUCAAUACAACAGAUUUACCAGCUGCAGUUCAUUGCCUUCACCUUCAAUAGCAUUCACCUCGAAGAGCAAGGCUCUCCCCAAAACCUGCUGCUCUCCAGUCCUUAUAACCUGUGUACAACACUGGAACACCCAGAGAGAGGGUGGGGUUGGUGACAGGGUCUGGACCCAGGACUUUUCACAAACAUACUGGCUUAUCUGUGUGAAGGGGUCCAAUCUGAUGGUAGGGAGAUUAUUUUUGCCAAGGUCCCUAAGCACUGCAAGACAGUCAUAGACACUGAGGCAAUGCCAGGCAAUUUUUGCUGCUAGUUACAGCAGAUGGAGUUUGUUUGCGACAGUCGAAAGCCGGGUGGGAAGGUUUGGUGGGUAUUUGCAUGCCAAAUGUGACAUCUGCAGCAUGUGGGCAUUCAGCUCAUUUGUAGCUGGUGUGGAGAAGCAGACACUUCUGCGGUGCAGUUCAUCCCACCCAAAUUCAGACACCUAAAAUAUGUCAUCUCUCCAUUGACUGCAACGGCAGACGAGUGACUAGCUCAAAAUUUCAUGUCUGCCCCAACAUCUAAUAUUAAGUGAGAAAAGAUGAAAAGCACUUCAUUGAUCCCAAAGUGUUUUCUUGUCUAUAAGUCAGGUUUCCCACUAGAGAAAGAGGUGGAGUUCUCUGAAAUCCUCAACAGGCCCAUUGGGUUACUCAGAGCUUGGCACAUCCAGCAUUCACCAUCUCAUGGUCAUUUGCUAAUCCAAACAUCCUCAUCCCAACCCCACACCUUCUCCAGUGGACAAAUAGUGCUCGGUCCACAAAAAUGGUACUAGGGUAGCAAAAUGGGUCACAGAAAUCUAACCUGAUGGAAAGGAUACCUGUCAGUUGGCUAUUUAUUUAAUAUUUCACCCCAGCCCCUCGAAUGCUGGUGUCACUGCAGUAUUUGAGAACAGCUGAAUGUGCAUUAGAAAAACACCCUACAAAGAAAAACCUAGAUCAGCCAAAAGAAAUUAUGAUUUGAAAAUUAUGUCCCAAAUCAUGAGGUCUGACUGAAGUAGCGUAACCUCAGCCUAAGUUACUCCAGCAAUAAUUUGAAGGAUUGUUCUUGAUACUGUAGGAUAAGACCUGGGGACUCAUCACAAGAUGAGCCUUAUUAGGAGCAAAAAACAAGGCAGGAACCCUUAUUCUGCAGUGAAUAAAAGGGUCAGCUUUAGUAAUUUAUGCUCAAGGAGGAAAAACUCAUUUUCUAUUUCUUUAGCAAGAACUUUUCAUUUUCUCACUCUCUACUUCCUUCCUGAGGACCACACCAAUUUUCUCACUUAUACACUAACAUUUCUUGGUUAGUGGUUAGAUUUAGAAACCUCCGAACCUUCAAGCUACUCUAGCUGAAGAAUUUAUGUAAAUAUUUCCUACUGCUACUAUAUGCAUGUAGAGGUUCUUUUCGUGUUUCUGUAAGGAAUCCUCAAAUUCUAUACAGUUCAGAAGCCUUUUUUCACACCCAGGGAAAUAGCACUAGAUUAAGAUCACCUAAGAACUGAAAUGCAACCGUUUACAUUUAUUUCUGCGGCAUGGUAUUUAGCUUCAGUUCUUGGAACAUCUACAACUGUUUCCUAUGAGGUGGUAAAUUCAGAGCUGACUCAACAAAAUUCAUACAGCCGAGAUUAACUGUGCCUUCACUGACCUAAAGGAAGGCAACUGAACUGUGCUUUCCGAAACAGAAGCAUCUAACCAGGUCAUAAAACUAAAGAAGAAAGCUGCCUUAUGACAUGCAGCAGAAAGAUUUCUAAUGGUGGUCUUCAACCAUGGGAAGUUCACUUGGUAAUAUAAGGGCUGAAUAUGGGAUGGGAAGAGUGUAAUGUAACAGUCUGUGCUUGAAAACUUGCUGUAAGCCAGAUUUGUCUCCUCUGAUUUUAGAUGCCUAUAAUAAAGGGUAUCUAUGUGUAAAUUUAUCUUCUAGAUCACCUUUAUUUUCAACAGAGAAAACUGAAUACUUAGAAUAGAAUCACAGAAUCAUUUCAGUUAGAAGAGACCCUCAGGAUCAUCGAGUUCAACCAUAACCUAAAUCUAGCGCUAAACCAUGUCCCUAAGAACCUCAUCUAAAUGCCUUUUAAACUCCUCCAGGGAUGGUGACUCCACCACUGCCCUGGGCAGCCUGUUCCAAUGCCUGACAACACUUUCUGGGAAUAAUUUUUUCCUAAUAUCCAAUCUAAACCUCCCCUGGUGCAACUUGAGGCCAUUUCCUCUUAUCCUAUCAGUUGUUACUUGGGAGAAGAGACCAACACCCUCUAUGUUACAAGCUCCUUUCAGGUAGUUGUAGACAGUGAUAAGGUCUCCCCUUAGCCAAUUCCCAUGCCUUAUAGGGCAUGUUCUAUCUGACCUACUUAAAACAACUUUUCUAUGACACAGCCAUGUUCUAGUUGAGUCUGCUUGUCUUGACUGACAAUAAAAGGAGUCUAGACAGCCAGCUCAAGUGUUUGUCUCCCAUGUGAGUCUCCAAAGGUGUUAUGACUCCCACCUUUGGUGUCUAGUUUUCAGAUAGGGACGAAAGCCUUCUUGGUUAGACAAAGGCAGAUACUACAUAUUCAAUAUCCCAGAUGAAUAUUAUGUAAAGUUUCUGGCUGGCUUUUAUGGCAACAAUACAAUUGUGUUAUGCAAAACACACAUUUGUUCAUUUAGUCUUAGACCCCAGUACAGUCACAGACCUCUUUAAAACUGAAGGCCAAGCUCUUUCUCUAGCCCAAAGAAGGUAUAAUCGAUACAAAAAUCAUUCAGGCUCGGAGGCUGCCCAGACAUGUGGGUUAGAUGAGAAAUAAGAGCUAAUAAUAACGCAGAAGGACUUUCCCUGAUUCUAAAUUACAGGGCUAGAGCACUGGUUGCGGCAUGCUGGGCUGUGGGUCCAGAAAGUGAGAUGGAAGAGCCUGAUCCUUAACAGACCAUGGUCUCUAGUGCUGGAAGAAAACUUGAAGGCUCAUCUAGUCCAUGGCUAGGCAUGAUCACCUCCACAUAUAUCACUGCUGAAGACUGUUAUCUUGCCCCCUUCUCCAUCAUCAUUCCUCAGACAGUCUCAAGUUAUUCAGUAUUUCCUGUUUGGAAAUGUUUUCUAGACUCCCUUAUCAUUCUUAUUGUUCCUCUGAAGUGUCUUCUGCUAGUCUGUGUUCUUCUUAAUGUGUAGUGCACACAACUGGGCACAGCACCCUACCCAUGGCUUUAUUGUCACAGCAUAAAACAAGGGAUUGCUUUGAGUGUUUUUUACAUUUCAGAAUUAGAUUUACAUUUUUGAUGUGUGACAUUGCCAGUUGGUCUUUUGCAUGUGAGCCCUAGAUCGUUUCCGGAAGAACAUCUAUCUAACCAGUGAUGCCACUACUCCAUUUCACAGGCUGUUUUAAUCUGGUUACAUAUAAUGCUUACACUUAUUCUUUAAAUUGCAUGUUUGUUUGUUAGUUUGUUUUGUCCAGUAUUGAGGUCACUUUGAUCUCCCUUCCUGCCCUCUAGUAUGAGGAUGGUCUCUCCUGGCUUAGCACCUUGUGCAAAUGCAGUGAAUAUUGUCUAUAUUAAUCACCCAGGUAAUUGUAGAAAAUACUGAAUAGCCUAAGACUGACAGCAUAAGCUGGGGAAGACCUUUCAAUACAUCCUUUUCUUCUGACAGCUAAUUGGUGCCACUCAAUAUGCUCUUCCAUCUGACACAGUUUUGAACCAUUUUAAGGGCACUUUCUUUUUAGGGAUUUCCCAAUCAAUUUUAUACUCACCUUAUAAUUCAACUAGGUUAUAUUUCCAUAACUUGACAGAUAGUGUAAAAAUUCUUUCUUAAGUCAAGCAAAGAGAUAGGGUGCCUUGGGUAAGGAGUUCACUACAGAGAGUGUCUUAAGGCUUGUGCACUGUGCAGGAUUAAGUAUAAUUGAUUAAUUAUAACUUGAUGGCAAUAAAAAGGAGAAGGGAAGGAACAGUUAUGAACAUGCAAUAAUAUACUUAUCAGUUUAUUUUAAUGUCUUGAAAUUUUCUACUCGGGCCAGAGGAAUGAUAGUUGCAAAUAAGAAUAUCUAUAGAAAAAAGUUAUCUGUACUAUGCAGCUGUAUUUGCAUGGGGAAGUGUUAAAGAACGAAAUCUAUUAAUAGGCAUAGCUAUGUUAAUGAAGUUGUGGCAGUGCUCACUACAGGGAAAAUAAAUAUAUCCAAAUAGUUUUAAUGUAAACCAGAAGCUCAGCCUUACAAGGAGAGUCAGCAAAGGUCUAGGACUGUUCAGCAUGGAAAGAGGGAGGAUGUAGGGAGGUUAACUGUAUCGUGGAGGUGAGGGAUACCGUGAAUGCAAUCAUUAGCCACCAAAUCCCACAGUAACAGAACUAGGAGACAUUUACUGCAUUCAGCUCUGGGGCCCCCAGCAUAAGAAGGACACAGACCUGUUGGAGAGAGUCCAGAGUAGGUCACGAAGAUGAUCAGAGGGCUGGAGCACCUCUCCUAUGAGGACAGGCUGAGAGAGUUGGGGUUGUUCAGCCUGGAGAAGAGAAACUCCAGGGAGACCUUUUAAUAGCCUUCCAGCCCCUAAAGGAGAGGUACAAGAAAGCUGGAGAGGGACUUUUUACAAGGGCAUGUAGUGACAGGACAAGGGUUGAUGGCUUUAAAUUGAAAGACGGUAGAUUUUGAUUAGAUGUAAGGAAGAAAUUCCUCACCAUGAGGGUGGUGAGACACAGGAACAGGCUGCUCAGAGAAGCCAUGGAUGCUCCGUACCUGGAAAUGUUCAAGGGCAGGUUGGACAGGGCUCUGAGAAACCUGGUCUAGAGGAAGGCGUCCCUGCCCAUGGCAGGGGGGUUAGAACUAGAUGGUCUUUAAGGUCUCCUCCAACCUGAACCAUUCUAUGAUUCUAUGAUUAGUAGGAGAUCAGUUUAAAACAGACAAAAGGGUGAAUUUAUCCCAACACUGAAUACUGGAUCCUCAAGAUUCCCUUUCAGUUUUAUUGUCCUCACAUAUUUAUCACAGAACUUGGCAUCACUGAAAGGAAUAGCUAGUAAGAGUAUAAUGAACUUUGUCCAGGAUGUUGAACAGGGAAGACUGUUCUCAGUCACUAAAUAAGGCAUUUAAAUUUUCUUUUGAAAUUCGGUUUGUAUUUUCAGGAUGAAUUUGUCUCAUCCAGGUGUGGCUGUCUAAAAGGUUUGUGUUUGGUUUAAACUAGUUAUGCUGGUCUAACGAUUAUCUGCAGAUGGGAAGGAGAGAGAGAAGGUCAGAUCAGUGAUUCACCCCAUAGAUGUUGAUGUCCAGAAGAGGAGGUGACUCUCUAGAUGCACUUGUUGACUCUCUCCAUUGACUCAAUUUGACAACUAUGCUGACCAUACAACUUUCUCUUGACUUGAACCUGAAUGCUUGUUGACCUUGCACAUGGUGUAACUAGGGCCUCCCUACACUUCUGCUUUGCUGAUGUAGACAAUGGGAAGGACCAUUGUACAUGGUAUUUCUAAUGGCUUUUCUUGAAAAUAUGGAGUAAAGUCUCUAAGUAAUCUGUAAAGAAAGCCAAGAGUGACCUAUUUAAGUGGAAAACCUAGCUAUUUGAACUUCAGAUGUUCAGUAAGUAAUGCUGUAUCCCAUACUUAAGGACAAAUUCCUGAUACAUUUCCUCCCAAAUAAAAAAAAAAAAUAACAUUAGUUUACAACUGCCAUUACCAUCAUUUCAAGGCUGUAUAAGCAAUACACUGAUUAAAAGUUUAGUUAGAUAUUAGAGCCAGCUUGACACCUGCCAGGCAAACUCCAUAUGAAGUGUUAUUCCCAUGAACAGAGGGCUCAUGUAGGGGUGAUUCACAGCAGAAAAGUUGAAUUAAAGAAAUAAAUCAUUGUUUUUAUUAGUGAGCUACGUGGGUAUUUACCACUGCUUAGAGCUGGAAACAGUUGUAAUACGAUCACAGUGUUGUCCUUUCAUUAAGCUGGCUUAUUUUUGCUUGCAACGUCAUUGAAUUUAUAAAACGAGCAAUGCCCAAGUGAAAAUUUGAUACUGCUAGGUUUUAUUUGAGAUGGUAAUGUAAAGGGGCCAAAUCUCCCAAGUCUCAGGAGAUCUUGAUACAGACCUCUAUGAAUUUCUGUGUCCUCCCCUGCUUCUGAAUGAUUCUGCUUUUUUUCCAUCAGAUAAACCUGCACCAGAUACGCUGUAAAAUCUGCUUAAAGCCUCCGCCACUCAAACCUCCAGACCAAACGAGUUUGUGCACUAAGAGCUUUAAAAGCACUUGCAGGAUUUCAAAAGGCCCUUGUUAAACUCAGACCUAAACAAGGCUGGAGCUGUGUCUGUGUUUUACUCCCUGGAAACUCCAUUUCUGCAUCUUUCUUGGUCUUGUGGCAUUGUAUAAAAAUAAUCUUCAUAAUCUUGUCUGUGGUGGCCUGGGCCAUGUGACAGACUCUUUUCCUUCCUGCUCUCUGAUGAAAGAAGGGACUUUUCUGAGCAGCAAAAGUCUGGUGAACAAUGGAAUAAAAUAAAAAAGCAACACAGACACCAGCACCUUCUGUUCCCCUUAUGCCUUCCUAGAUGCUCAAGAUAGAAUUGUAGAAACAUUUUGGUUGGAAGAGACACUCAGGGUCAUCUAGCCCAACCAUAACCUAACUCUAGCACUAAACCAUGUCCCUAAGAACCUUGUCCAAAUGACUUUUAAACUCCUCCAGGGAUGGUGACUCCACCACUGCCCUGGGCAGCCUGUUCCAAUGCCUGGCAAUCCUUUCUGUGAAUAAUUAAACAGAAAUUAAGAUGCUCCUGUUUCCCUUCAUCACUUCCCAGGUUGCCACUGAGUUUUCACAGCACCUCCCCUCCUUUAUUGCCACACACCUCUGUUGCUAAUAUCUAAUGUUAAUCACCUAAAUUAUAAUGCUAAUUAUAAAUACUGGUUUUGUUCUCAUAAAACCCUGUUUUAUUCUGUGCCUAGAUAACUUUCCCUCUUGCUGGGUCCCUCCAUUCUCAUCCUCCCCUUCUCUGCCUCGCUCUGUUUUGGGUCAGUUUCUUGCAGAAGCAGCACUGUUCUUUCCAGGAAUCGCUCAGCAAGGUGACCUAUUUCACAAAGCUGACCUAACUAACUGCUCUCACAAGCUCUAACCGUUUUUUUUUUAUUUUCCCUGACCUUUAAGAGGUCUAAAUGCCAAGUUACAGGUCUUUCUCAUGCAAACUGUGCUUGUAGGAAUCAGCCACCUGGGGUCACCGUUCCUUCCAGUACAACUGACUGUAGCUAGGAAAUAAACUCACCAUUUCUAAUAAAAAUCUUAGUGGCUUUUAUCCACCUACACUGAGAUUUGCUGCUUGAAAGCAAAUGGCUGUGUGAAAGAGGCAGCGCACCUCAGCUCGCUUGCUGAAAUAAAGGUCAUUUUUUUUGCAGCAAAAGGAAAAAUUCAGCUUGUUGAGAAUCUGUGUCUGCAGUCCAGACUGCUGCCCUCUGCUCAGAGCUUCAGAUCACUAACUGACCAGCAGGAUCUUGUUAAUAGCUGAGAGAGGCAGAUUGAGCUGCAGGACUGCAGAAAAGGUCCCCCAUUUCUGUCUCCAUCAUCCAAAUAGCUAUGUAAUUAAAUAGUUUGAGCAGGCAAGAAAUUGAAGGAGAUGUUGGGGAGUAAAUCCCUGCACCUCCAAAGCACAGACCCCAUGUUUAUUAAGGGAAGUAUAAAUUUUGAUUAAAAGCCUGAGAUUUCUUUCCAGGCAAUGUAACCAAUACUUUUUACCAACCCAGAUGGCUGUGGUUCUGCAUGUGCAGUUGCAUAUCUCCAUAUAUCUUGGAAAAAAAGGUGAGGAAUUGAUAU